RNAcentral lists this ribosomal RNA (376 nucleotides) under uncultured bacterium. Its description in RNAcentral is "bacterial SSU rRNA". It matches the Rfam family "Bacterial small subunit ribosomal RNA", at positions 30 to 409 of the family's 1533-position model. The record is from RNAcentral.
AUUGAACGCUGGCGGCAUGCCUUACACAUGCAAGUCGAACGGCAGCACGGGAGCAAUCCUGGUGGCGAGUGGCGAACGGGUGAGUAAUAUAUCGGAACGUGCCCAGUCGUGGGGAUAACGUAGCGAAAGCUACGCUAAUACCGCAUACGAUCUAUGGAUGAAAGCGGGGGAUCGCAAGACCUCGCGCGAUUGGAGCGGCCGAUAUCAGAUUAGGUAGUUGAUGAGGUAAAGGCUCACCAAGCCGACGAUCUGUAGCUGGUCUGAGAGGACGACCAGCCACACUGGGACUGAGACACGGCCCAGACUCCUACGGGAGGCAGCAGUGGGGAAUUUUGGACAAUGGCGCAAGCCUGAUCCAGCAAUGCGCGUGCAGGAU